RNAcentral lists this ribosomal RNA (427 nucleotides) under uncultured bacterium. RNAcentral's name for it is "partial 16S ribosomal RNA". It matches the Rfam family "Bacterial small subunit ribosomal RNA", at positions 354 to 796 of the family's 1533-position model. The record is from RNAcentral.
GUGGGGAAUAUUGGGCAAUGGGGGAAACCCUGACCCAGCGACGCCGCGUGAGGGAAGAAGGCCUUAGGGUCGUAAACCUCUGUUGUGUGGGAAGAAGAGCGUGACGGUACCACACGAGGAAGUCCCGGCUAACUACGUGCCAGCAGCCGCGGUAAUACGUAGGGGACGAGCGUUGUCCGGAUUUACUGGGCGUAAAGGGCGCGUAGGCGGUCAUUUAAGUCAGCUGUGAAAUGGUUUGGCUUAACCGGAUCAUGCGGUUGAAACUGGAUGACUGGAGUGCUGGAGAGGCAAGUGGAAUUCCCAGUGUAGCGGUGAAAUGCGUAGAUAUUAGGAAGAACACCAGUGGCGAAGGCGACUUUCUGGACGAAAACUGACGCUGAGGCGCGAAAGCCAGGGGAGCGAACGGGAUUAGAAACCCCUGUAGUCC